Molecule: ribosomal RNA, 433 nt
Filed under: uncultured bacterium
Lineage: Bacteria
Description: partial 16S ribosomal RNA
Rfam family: Bacterial small subunit ribosomal RNA
Source: RNAcentral
AGCGAACGCUGGCGGCAGGCCUAACACAUGCAAGUCGAACGAACUCUUCGGAGUUAGUGGCGGACGGGUGAGUAACACGUGGGAACGUGCCUUUUGGUUCGGAAUAACUCAGGGAAACUUGUGCUAAUACCGAAUGUGCCCUUCGGGGGAAAGAUUUAUCGCCAUUAGAGCGGCCCGCGUCUGAUUAGCUAGUUGGUGAGGUAACGGCUCACCAAGGCGACGAUCAGUAGCUGGUCUGAGAGGAUGACCAGCCACACUGGGACUGAGACACGGCCCAGACUCCUACGGGAGGGAGCAGUGGGGAAUCUUGCGCAAUGGGCGAAAGCCUGACGCAGCCAUGCCGCGUGAAUGAUGAAGGUCUUAGGAUUGUAAAAUUCUUUCACCGGGGACGAUAAUGACGGUACCCGGAGAAGAAGCCCCGGCUAACUUCGUG